AACGAACGCUGGCGGCGUGGAUUAGGCAUGCAAGUCGAACGAGAAAGUCUCUUCGGAGACUGAGUAGAGUGGCAAACGGGUGAGUAACGCGUGGGGAACCUACCUUUCGGUUGGGAAUAACACUUCUAACGAGGUGCUAAUACCGAAUACGAUCGGUUUGUCGCAUGGCAAACUGAUGAAGGGCGACCUCUGAUUUAAGUUGUCGCCGAAAGAUGGUCCCGCGUCCCAUUAGCUAGUUGGUGAGGUAACGGCCCACCAAGGCACCGAUGGGUAGCCGGCCUUAGCGGGUGUCCGGCCACACUGGGACUGAGAUACGGCCCAGACUCCUACGGGAGGCAG
This 339-nucleotide ribosomal RNA is filed under the name uncultured Latescibacterota bacterium. Its description in RNAcentral is "bacterial SSU rRNA". It matches the Rfam family "Bacterial small subunit ribosomal RNA", at positions 29 to 351 of the family's 1533-position model. Lineage: Bacteria; Pseudomonadati; Candidatus Latescibacterota. The record is from RNAcentral.